RNAcentral lists this ribosomal RNA (253 nucleotides) under uncultured bacterium. RNAcentral describes it as "partial 16S ribosomal RNA". It matches the Rfam family "Bacterial small subunit ribosomal RNA", at positions 524 to 776 of the family's 1533-position model. The record is from RNAcentral.
UACGGAGGGAGCUAGCGUUGUUCGGAUUUACUGGGCGUAAAGGGCGUGUAGGCGGCCUUGUAAGUCAGGCGUGAAAACCUCUGGCUCAACCAGAGAUCUGCGUCUGAUACUGCGAGGCUUGAGUGCAGGAGAGGAAAGCGGAAUUCCUGGUGUAGCGGUGAAAUGCGUAGAUAUCAGGAAGAACACCAGUGGCGAAGGCGGCUUUCUGGUCUGUCACUGACGCUAAGGCGCGAAAGCCAGGGGAGCGAACGGG